This 254-nucleotide ribosomal RNA is filed under the name uncultured bacterium. RNAcentral describes it as "partial 16S ribosomal RNA". It matches the Rfam family "Bacterial small subunit ribosomal RNA", at positions 524 to 776 of the family's 1533-position model. The record is from RNAcentral.
CACGUAGGGUGCAAGCGUUGUCCGGGAUCAUUGGGCGUAAAGAGCUCGUAGGCGGCUUAGUAAGUCGGGUGUGAAAACUCUAGGCUCAACCUAGAGACGCCACCCGAUACUGCUAUAGCUAGAAUCCAGUAGGGGAGUGUGGAAUUCCCAGUGUAGCGGUGAAAUGCGCAGAUAUUGGGAGGAACACCAGCGGCGAAGGCGGCACUCUGGGCUGGUAUUGACGCUGAGGAGCGAAAGCGUGGGUAGCGAACAGG